GAGAAUCUUCCGCAAUGGACGAAAGUCUGACGGAGCGACGCCGCGUGGUGGAUGAAGUCCUUAGGGACGUAAACACCUUUUAUGAGGGAGGAAGUUUAUUGACGUUACCUCAUGAAUAAGGGGCUCCCAAUUCUGUGCCAGCAGGAGCGGUAAUACAGAAGCCCCGAGCGUUACCCGGAAUCACUGGGCGUAAAGGGUGCGUAGGCGGUCAUAUUAGUCGGGUGUUAAAUCCUGGGGCUCAACCUCAGACUCGCAUUCGAAACGGUAUGACUAGAAGAUGUGAGAGGUGAACGGAACUCAAGGUGUAGGGGUGAAAUCCGUUGAUAUCUUGGGGAACACCAAAUGCGAAG
Molecule: ribosomal RNA, 350 nt
Filed under: uncultured bacterium
Lineage: Bacteria
Description: bacterial SSU rRNA
Rfam family: Bacterial small subunit ribosomal RNA
Source: RNAcentral